RNAcentral lists this ribosomal RNA (440 nucleotides) under uncultured bacterium. Its description in RNAcentral is "partial 16S ribosomal RNA". It matches the Rfam family "Bacterial small subunit ribosomal RNA", at positions 338 to 795 of the family's 1533-position model. The record is from RNAcentral.
CCUACGGGUGGCAGCAGUGGGGGAUAUUGCACAAUGGGGGGAACCCUGAUGCAGCGACGCCGCGUGGGUGAAGAAGCGCCUCGGCGCGUAAAGCCCUGUCAGCAGGGAAGAAAAUGACGGUACCUGAAGAAGAAGCCCCGGCUAACUACGUGCCAGCAGCCGCGGUAAUACGUAGGGGGCAAGCGUUAUCCGGAUUUACUGGGUGGAAAGGGGGCGCAGACGGUGAUGCAAGCCAGGAGUGAAAGCCCGGGGCCCAACCCCGGGAGUGCUGUUGGAACUGCGUGGCUUGAGUGCAGGAGGGGAAGGCGGAAUUCCUGGUGUAGCGGUGAAAUGCGUAGAUAUCAGGAGGAACACCGGUGGCGAAGGCGGCCUGCUGGACUGCAACUGACGUUGAGGCCCGAAAGCGUGGGGAGCAAACAGGAUUAGAUACCCUUGUAGUC